This 406-nucleotide ribosomal RNA is filed under the name uncultured bacterium. RNAcentral's name for it is "bacterial SSU rRNA". It matches the Rfam family "Bacterial small subunit ribosomal RNA", at positions 29 to 420 of the family's 1533-position model. The record is from RNAcentral.
AGCGAACGUUAGCGGCGGGCCUAACACAUGCAAGUCGAACGCGAAAGGUCUUCGGACUGAUUAGAGUGGCGCACGGGUGAGUAACACGUAGGUAAUCUACCCUUUGGCGGGGGAUAACGUUCCGAAAGGAGCGCUAAUACCGCAUAAGACCACGGAGUCUCCGGACGCUGUGGGAAAAGGUGGCCUCUUCUUGAAAGCUAUCACCGGAGGAUGAGCCUGCGUCCCAUCAGCUAGUUGGUAAGGUAAUGGCUUACCAAGGCAAAGACGGGUAGCUGGUUUGAGAGAAUGAUCAGCCACACUGGCACUGGAACACGGGCCAGACUCCUACGGGAGGCAGCAGUGAGGAAUAUUGGGCAAUGGGCGAAAGCCUGACCCAGCCACGCCGCGUGAGUGAUGAAGGCCUCGG